Molecule: ribosomal RNA, 469 nt
Filed under: uncultured bacterium
Lineage: Bacteria
Description: bacterial SSU rRNA
Rfam family: Bacterial small subunit ribosomal RNA
Source: RNAcentral
AACGAACGCUGGCGGCAGGCCUAACACAUGCAAGUCGAGCGGGGGAGCAAUCCCUAGCGGCGGACGGGUUAGUAACGCGUGGGAACAUACCCUUUGGUACGGAAUAGCCUCGGGAAACUGAGAGUAAUACCGUAUGUGCCCUUCGGGGGAAAGAUUUAUCGCCAAAGGAUUGGCCCGCGUUGGAUUAGGUAGUUGGUGGGGUAAUGGCCUACCAAGCCUACGAUCCAUAGCUGGUUUGAGAGGAUGAUCAGCAACACUGGGACUGAGACACGGCCCAGACUCCUACGGGAGGCAGCAGUAGGGAAUCUUAGACAAUGGGCGCAAGCCUGAUCUAGCCAUGCCGCGUGAGCGAUGAAGGCCUUAGGGUUGUAAACUGCUUUUAUACAAGAGAAAACCCUGGUACGUGUACCAGGUUGAUAGUAUUGUAAGAAUAAGCAUCGGCUAACUUCGUGCCAGCAGCCGCGGUAAU